Molecule: ribosomal RNA, 426 nt
Filed under: uncultured cyanobacterium
Lineage: Bacteria; Bacillati; Cyanobacteriota
Description: bacterial SSU rRNA
Rfam family: Bacterial small subunit ribosomal RNA
Source: RNAcentral
UGGGGAAUCUUCCGCAAUGGGCGAAAGCCUGACGGAGCAAUACCGCGUGAGGGAUGAAGGAUUUUGGUCUGUAAACCUCUUUUCUCAAGAAAGAAGUUCUGACGGUACUUGAGGAAUAAGCAUCGGCUAACUCCGUGCCAGCAGCCGCGGUAAUACGGGGGAUGCAAGCGUUAUCCGGAAUCAUUGGGCGUAAAGCGCCUGUAGGUUGUUUAAUAAGUCUGUUGUUAAAGACUAGGGCUCAACCCUAGAAAAGCAAUGGAAACUACUAGACUAGAGUAUGGCAGGGGUAGAGGGAAUUUCUAGUGUAGCGGUGAAAUGCGUAGAUAUUAGAAAGAACACCGGUGGCGAAAGCGCUCUACUGGACCAUUACUGACACUCAGAGGCGAAAGCUAGGGUAGCAAAAGGGAUUAGAUACCCCUGUAGUCA